RNAcentral lists this long non-coding RNA (678 nucleotides) under Equus caballus (horse). RNAcentral describes it as "lncRNA (ENSECAG00000049348.1)". The record is from RNAcentral. Lineage: Eukaryota; Metazoa; Chordata; Mammalia; Perissodactyla; Equidae.
GGGGAAGAGCGUCCUGAGUACCAGAGGAAUGGAACAUGGAAGUCUGCCCAAGGCAAGCGCUUUACCUGAAGGGGCAGGACUGGAGUUCGUAUUGUCUUUCCUAAUGAUGGUCCAAAAUUGCAUAAGCUUUGCAAUUUCCCAAGAAAACGGGACCCGCCUUUGACUGAGAGAGUUGGCCUCUCACAGACAUCAGUGCAAAGCUACUGAAAGAUGACCUUCAGGAAGAAGAAAGUUGAACUCAGAAGGAAGAGGUGGGAUUCAAGAGGCAAUGAAACAAAUAAAUAAAUGUCAAUUAGAUAAUAGUGAUAAUGAUAAUAAGCCAUUCCUCAUUGCCCUGGGAUACUACGUAAACACUGCAAUGUGUCUGAAGAGGUCCUCUGUGGUCUAGUCUCUGUUGACCUCCAGCUUUAUCAAGCACCACUCCGACACCACCUACGACUCUGUACAUCUGCACUGAGGCCUCCAGGCAUUCUCACAUUCUGUUCCUUCUCUCUGGAACACUCUUCCCUCCUUUCUUAAGGACAGGGCACCCGACCCUAUCUGCCUAGAUGAGGGGCCCCUCCUGCCUGCUCUGAGGUGGCCCGUGCUGUCACCCUCCCUUGUUACCUCUUUACUGAUCUACCUCCCCUGCUAGACUGUGGUGUCGUGAGGCACCGACAGAGCCUGGUUCCUUCCCGG